CCUACGGGCGGCAGCAGUAGGGAAUCUUCCACAAUGGGCGAAAGCCUGAUGGAGCAACGCCGCGUGGGUGAAGAAGGUCUUCGGAUCGUAAAACCCUGUUGUUAGAGAAGAAAGUGCGUGAGAGUAACUGUUCACGUUUCGACGGUAUCUAACCAGAAAGCCACGGCUAAAUACGUGCCAGCAGCCGCGGUAAUACGUAGGUGGCAAGCGUUAUCCGGAUUUAUUGGGCGUAAAGGGAACGCAGGCGGUCUUUUAAGUCUUAUGGGAAAGCCUUCGGCUUAACCGGAGUAGUGCAUUGGAAACUGGGAGACUUGAGUGCAGAAGAGGAGAGUGGAACUCCAUGUGUAGCGGUGAAAUGCGUAGAUAUAUGGAAGAACACCAGUGGCGAAAGCGGCUCUCUGGUCUGUAACUGACGCUGAGGUUCGAAAGCGUGGGUAGCAAACAGGAUUAGAUACCCCAGUAGUC
Molecule: ribosomal RNA, 465 nt
Filed under: uncultured bacterium
Lineage: Bacteria
Description: partial 16S ribosomal RNA
Rfam family: Bacterial small subunit ribosomal RNA
Source: RNAcentral